UCACACCCGGGUUUUAGGGGCACCAAGACCCGGGCGCGAACAUAAUCACCAGGUGUGCUGGGACCAAGUCUCACACAUAUGAUGAAUCAUGGCACAUGAUCGAAUGUCACAUCUUUACUAUAUAAUAGGAGUUCUAUAUAAAAUAAAUAAAUAAUUACAUUAUAAGGAGACAACGGUCCAGCAACCCAAAGUUGACUGGGAGACGACGGCCUAGACCUCUCACGAACACAUCGCAGCAUCCUCCAUGCGCCUCAUCCUGUGGUACCUGUUCUUGACCUGUGGGGGUGUGAGACAACAAGAGUGAGCUCACAUAUGUUCAUUGCUCAACAAGUUGUGAGGAAUAAUGUGCAUGAACUCGCCAAAGGUGGGAGCUCACGUGAAGUGUAAGGCUUACCAAAGAGGAUGGUUAGAGCUGAGCAUUGCUUUUAAAGUUGGUCAAAAUUUUAUUAGCAGUUACUAAGUAUAAGUAAAUACCAACCCAAUUAAAUAGUAGAACAGAAGUAACAACAUCACCUGUGAUGCAAUGCAUAUGAAAAAUUGAAUUUAGUUCCAUAAGUUAAUCAUGUGAGGGUCCGAGCUGCUCAUGACCAUGAUCACGGCUAGUAUACCAGUUUUACACUCUGCAGAGAUUGCGCAUCUUUACCCACAAGUCAUGUUACCCAUUUGCCACGGGGUUGUACGGGCCCCAUACACUUAUACCAAGGAAGCGAGGCAGGGUAACACUACGAGGCCUUUACAAAGUUCCACUAGCUUCAGAAAACCCGCUACAGUUUAUAGGAAGCUCCAAUGCAGGGAUCCCUUGCCUGACCGCCAUCGCAGCAAAAUCAACCAAGGACCUCCCUACACUAACCACUCCCCUACUGCCCUUGCCCCUUUCGGGUAAGGUAGUCCUCCACUAGCUUUCCUAAUUAAUCAGACAAGGGCGUCCAUAAACCCUUGUGGUAGCACUGUUUUCCCGGAUGGUCGCUCCAUGUUCUAAUUAACAUAAUGAUCUUAUCAUGAACAGUAAAUAACAACGGAUAACAAAAGUAUAAUUAUGAAUAAUGUGUAUCUCAAUGCCCAAAUCCACAUAAAGCACUAGCAAGUACUACCCAAAAGUUUAGUGGUAAACAAGGCAUAAAGAUAGACAAACUACGAUAACCUAUUAGGUCCCAUCAAAAUUAACCUAUGCAGAUCAUUAUGAUUAAUUAGAACAUGAGUGGGUAAAAGAAGUGAUCAAGGGCACAACUUGCCUGGGACUUGAGAUUCCAUGUACCAACUUGCUCUUCAGAUGACUCGUGACCUCACGCUAGUCGUAGCAAUACAAACAAAUAUGGUAUAUGCAAAAUUAACAUUACACCAAACAUAAGAAUAAACUGCGUAUUAAUAAUCUACGCGUCGUAACGAGAUCGUAGGAACAAGAAUCACUAAACUCGGAGCUACGAUUGUUAAGUUAUGAAUUUCCGAAACUAUUAAGUACUUAGAAUAGAUUAAUUCAAAUGAACAAUUUUAAUUUGCGCUUCAUGGUUAGACAGUGUUACUAUGUGGUAGACAAUAUUAAAACAAAAUUAAUGUCUCUGAAAUUAAUUAAUUUGGAGCUACAAUGAAUUUAAUAUGAAUUAUAUAAUUUCUGGAUUUAUUUGUGUAUUGAAAAUCAAAUUCUAAAUUUAUUUUCCUGAUUUUCCCUGAGCUCUGAACUGGGCGCCAAUAACAGAAAAACACAGGGGCCAAAAUCACAAUUACCCUAAGACUCAGGCUUCCCACAUUGUGGACUAUGGGUUGAAUAUGCCAAAGAUUAGGGGCUCUUUAGCAAAAGAUCCCGGCCGAAGGGGUAUCAAGAAUCCAGGGUCGUUGGAUAUGACUCGCACGGCUCGGAUUAGAACCGUCCAGGGACGAAAUGGUAUGCAACCACAGAUGCCAGAUCACAAUUGGGCGGCCAAGAUUUGAUCCGAGAAACGACAGGUAAUGGAGUCAAUCUAGACCAUUGGCGCAUGAAUCUACGGCCUGGAUCUAAUUGAGUGAAGAGUACCUUGCAUCACAGCCCUUCGUUUCGAUCCAACGCUCCCCAGGUCAUCUUCCCCAACACGCCCAGCGCUACCGCGACAUCCUCUGCCCGCGCUUCUUCAUCGCGGCGGCGGAUGCCAGAGCUCCCUUUCAUUGACGGGCAUGAACGUGAACAAGAUCCGGAUGCCACGACUCGCCCAGCCAAAGCGCCCGCGCCACCCAGAGAUUAAGCAGUGCAGGGGGUACCAGCUUGUUCGCACUAGCUGUCGUGCAGUGGAGUUUUGGAGACGCAGAGCAACUUCCUCCCCCGGCGAGCGAUGAACCGAGUCCAACCCUCCAUACAUCAUGCACUCAUUGAAGGUCCACACAGGGGCGCUCUUUAUCUCUCUCCACCAUGGCGCCCCUUCCUGGUUCCCCUUGUGUUCUCGCUGGGCCGCAGGUUCCAAGUCGACCCCGAAGCAAUGGGGAAACCGGGGGAUGGUUUUUAUAUUUCUAAAGCCGAGCUUCACGGUGGGAUGACGAUGAAUCGAGCCCGGAAAUCUCGGUUCCUGGCAUCAGUUAGCGCCAGAUGCGGAGGGGGUUUGUGAGGAUAGGGAUGACCCUGACAAGCUGGGCCCACACGCAAGACACCCAGGCGAGAGGUGCUGAGGACAGCAUCCCAGUACGCGCGCCAGCGCGGUGAGGCUGCUCACAGGGCCCCGCAAGUCGGUGACAGUGUAUGUGUGUGCGGGAUGUGAAUUGGGCUAGCAGGGUGCUCAUGGGCCACAUGGAUGUGAGCCAGGUUGGGCUGAGAGGGAGGGAAUUCAGCCCAGAAUCCAGUUUGUCCAUUUUCCCUUUUUUUCUUUUCUAAUUCCUAAUUCAAAUUUAGUUUGCAAUUCACACUCAAGGUUUGAGUUGAACUUUUAAAUGCACAGUGAAUACUCCAGCAUGAGAUUCAAGUUAUAUUUGUAGGGAAUAUUUUAUUCAGUUAUUUAGAAAUAUAUAUUUCAAAUGUGAAGUAAACAUAUUGUUGAGAAAUACCAUUUUGGAUGUAAGUUUAAAGGUUCUCCCAUAAUUCAACAUUUGUUUUUUUAUUAUUUAUUAAAAUUAAAGGGAUAUGUUUUAUGAAGGAUGAAAAACAUUUAUAGAAGUUAUUUUAUCUCAAAUUAUUUGGACAUUGUUUUAUAACUUCACAAAAUAAGAUUUUGGGUAUUGCAGGGGGGUGAAUUAGGACUUCUAAAAACUCUCUCUAAACUAGUCCAUAAUUUAAUCUCUAGAUCAAAACCUAUGCAAAUAAAUAAUUUAGAAUAUGCAAACUAGGUUUAGUCUAUGUGUUGUAAUCUCUAUCGCAAAGCCUAAGUUUCAAUCCUAAAAAUCUAACUAGAAAGGAGAGAUUGAAACUUAAGUACUUAAUGUAAAUGUGGAAGGUAAAGAGCAAGGGUAGAGUUGCAAAUUCUUGUGGAUGACGCUGGUAUUUUUAUCGAGGUAUCCGGAACCACGCAAGGUCCCGACUAAUCCUCGUUGGUGCCUCUACCCAAAGGGUAGCCCACGCGAGGGACAAGCACCAUGGUCGAGUAACUCCAUAUAGGGCAGCGGGCCUUCUCCACGCAUAAGAGGUGCUCUACUUCUGGCUCCUCUCGGACGCUCCUCGCCGUCUCCACUAUCGAGGUUUCGACCAAAACGCCACGGGCCUCGUUCCCUCCGGUACACGGUGGUGGUCAUGAUAGAAACUCAUUUGUCAUGGUCUCGCAAGACUCUUGCCCCACUCGGUACAAUUACAACGGCUCGCGCAAGAGCCGAUCGGUUGUGUGGUUUUUCUAAACUCACUCAACUAACGAGGAUUCACCUAGAGCAAGCACAUAAGCGGUCUAACUAACCUAAGCACUUCGCAAAGUAUCUACACUAAUCACCGAGUGAUUUUAUUAAGCACUUGGGUGUUUGAGCACUUGGAAAUGCCUACAACAUGUGUUGGUAUGUUGCUUGGGCUCCGACACCUUCAAAUGGCCGGUUGGAGGGUUAUAAAUAGACUCCCCUCAAUUAUAGCCGUUGGACAAAAAAAACUAGGACUGUGGAGAGGUAGAUUCCUAAGUCUGGGUGGCAGACUGACCCUUAUGAACAGCUAUUUAACGAAUGUUCCUUUGUAUAAGCUUUCAAUCUACUCUGCUCCUAAAUCUGUCAUUAGGAGAAUUAAUAUCCACAGGAAAAAUCUCCUGUGGCAGAGUGGUCGUGAUUGUAAAAAAAAUUCAUUUAGCAAAUUGGGAGAUGGUUUGUACCCCAAAAAUGCAGGGUGGCUUAGGUGUUCUGGAUCUUAAUUGCAUGAAUGAUGCUUUGCUGGCUAAGUGGCUUUGGAACAUUGAGAACUCGAAUGGUCUAUGGCAGGAAAUUAUUAGAGCUAAAUAUAUUAAUGUGUCACACCCGGAUUUUAGGGGUCCAAAACCUGGGUGCGAACAUAAUCACCAGGUGUGCUGGGACCAAGUCUCACACAUAUGAUGAUUCAUGGCACAGGAUCGAAUGUCACAUCUUUACUAUAUAAUCAGAGUUUUGUACAAAAUAAAUAAAUAAUUACAUUAUAUGGUGACAAAGGUCCAGCAACCCAAAGUUGACUGGGAGACGACAACCUAGAUCUCUCACGAACUCAUCGCAGCAUCCUCCUUGCGCCUCAUCCUGUGGUACCUGUUCUUGACCUGUGGGGGGGUGUGAGACAGGAAGAGUGAGCUCACAUACGUUCAUCGCUCAACAAGUUGUGGGGAAUAAUGUGCAUGAACUCGCCAAAGGUGGGAGCUCAUGUGAAUUGUAAGGCUUACCAAAGAGGAUGGUUAGAGCUGAGCAUUGCUUUUAAAGUUGGUCAAAAUUUUAUUAGCAGUUACUAAGUAUAAGUAAAUACCAACCCAAUUAAGUAGUAGAACAAAAGUAACAUAAUCACCUGCGAUGCAAUGCAUAUGACAAAUUGAAUUUAGUUCCAUAAAUUAAUCAUCAGAGAGUCCUGAGCUGCUCAUGACCGUGAGCUCGGCUAGUAUACCAGUUUUACACUCUGCAGAGGUGGUACCCUUUACCCACAAGUCAUGUUACCCAUCUGCCAAGGGAUCGCGACUUCCCAUACACCUCUACCGAGGAGGCGAGGCAGGGUAACACUACGAGGCCUUUACAAAUUUCCACUAGCUUCAGAAAACCCGCUACAGUUUAUAGGAAGCUCCAAUGCAGGGUUCUUGCCUGACCGCCAUCGCAGAAAAAUCAAGCAAGGACCUCCCUACACUGACCACUCCCCUACUGCCCUUGCCCCUUUCGGGUAAGGUAGUCCUCCACUAGCUUUCCUAAUUAAUCAGCCAAGGGCGUCCAUAAACCCUUGUGGUGGCACGUGUUUCUCAAGUUAAGCUCUAUGUUCCAAUUAACAUUAAUGAUCUUGACAUGAACAGUAAAUAACAACGGAUAACAAAAGUAUAAUCAUGAAUAAUGUGUAUCUCAAUGCCCAAAACCACAUAUAGCACUAGCAAGUACUACCCAAAAAAGUUCAGUGGUAAACAAGGCAUAAAGAUAGACAAACUAGGUAACCUAUUAGGUCCCAUCAAAAUUAACCUAUGCAGAUCAUUAUGAUUAAUUAGAACAUGAGUGGGUAAAAGAAGUGAUCAAGAGCACAACUUGCCUGGGACUUGAGAUUCCAGGUACCAGGAUGAUCUUCAGAUCCUCGUGACCUCACGCUAGUCGUAGCAAUACAAACGAACAAUGUAUAUACAAAAUUAACAUCACACCAAACAUAAGAAUAAACUGAAUAAUAAUGAUCUACACGUUAAAAUAAAAUUCUAGGAACCGGAAUCAUAAUUUUUAGAUUUUAAGUUAUGGAUUUUCAAAGGUUUUAUGUGUUUAAAAUGGGAUUAAGUGUGGGAUUAAUUUUCUUACUGUUGUCAUGAUAAAACAGAGACACUAAGUGCUAGAGAAUAAAAUCACAAAAUUUUAGAAAGUGGAAUGGACUAAUUUGGACUAAAAAUGGAUUUUCUAUGAAUUUAUCAAGUUCUAGUAAUUAUUUUCAUAUUAAAAAUCCAUUUAUAAAUUAUUUUCUCUGGUUUUAUAAGGUUCUGGACUGGGCCUCAAUUUCAGUUAAGCACAGGGGGCUCGGGGUAAGUCGUCCUAGACACAGAGAACAGUGGAAGUAGGACGGCGGGUUCAUUAUAAAAUACCCUAGGGUUUCUUUAGCAAAAUGUACCCGCGAAGGGGUAUGAUGUGAUCUGGGCCGUUGAAUCCUGUCCCGACCGCCGAGAUUAGACGCUGACAUUAUAACCUGUUAUGUGAUACUGACCAUUGGAUCUAGCAUCCACGGAUGAGAAGCGAUCCCACCCCGAUCAAUCCUCCUCCGUCCGAUACUACGCCAACGUUCCAAAUCCCCCCCCAGCGAACAGGUACGCUGAGACCAGAUCCAGACCGCACAAUCCUAAUUCGAUGCCUCGGGUUCAUCCUACGAGGUGGUAACUCAUGAUCUAAUCCGAGCCGGAUAACACAGAUCCAACGAUUGGCACUCAUCCUCUUCCUCGGGUCUCUCCACGGCGAAGUAAGCUCCCAAGACGGCGGCGCUCACGGAACCUUGCCCCAGCCCCCCCCGAAUUCGUCUUCCUCCGAAGCCGACCGAGCAACUACAUCUCAUGGUCUACGCGCAACAAUGGAAACACGAUAUGGUACGAGGGAAAGAAAGAGCUGUCACCACUGUUGGAGCGAGCUGGCCAAUGACGUCGCACGGAUCCGCGAUGAGGCGCAGGCUUGAUCUUACUUUGGCUAUGGGGGGAGAGUUCUUGCUUGCUUCCCACAGAACGACCACGAACGGCGGAUUCCUGGAGAUCAGUGGGUUUUAUAGAGAUGAGCCCCAGGAUAUGGCGGUGGAGUUCGGUCUACCCCGGAGUUCAUGGCGCGAUUUGCUGCCGGUCUCAACCACCCGAGCAACCUUGCCAGGGCCCUGAACGUCGCGGUGCCGGCCUUCGGGGAGGUCGAUUCCCACCACCUGCGAGGAUCCGCAGCGGCGGCCGGCUUCUAGUUCCUCUCACUGGUCCUCUCUCUCUCCGCGCUCUGAUGUCCUCUGCGCUCCAUGGAUGAUGGGGCAAGGUAGGGCCGACGGAAGUGUUUUUAUACCCCAAGAACGGAUAGAGUCCGAGCGCGGAUCAAGGAAUCGGAUCUGCAGCCCCACGGUGAAUUCGUUGAUGUAGUUACGGAGCUCGUGUGGGAGAUAACGCGCAAUCUGUUGGAGCUUGCGGCCGGGGAAGAUGACAAGUAGGGCCCACCAGCCAUACUCAGCGAAUUCCCACGGAGCGAACGAGCAAUGGCCUGCCAGCAGGGCCAGUCUGUCAGCGCAAGGAGCAUCAGCGCGCGGUGGGACUUGGUGGGCCGCGUGGAUGGGAAGCUGACUGGGCCAAUAAGUGUGGCGGCCGGCCCAAUUUGGUUUGGUUCCUUUUAUUCUUUUCUUUUUAUCCUCUAUUCUCUUUUCUAUAUUUCCAAGUUCAAUUUGAAUUCGAAUUUGAACUCAAACUUGUGCCUAUUUUAUUCUCAAUUCAUGUUGUGGAAUUUAGAAUACCAACUUUGGAGAUAUAAUUAUAUCAUAUAUUUUUUAUAUAUCAUUUCUUCUCUUCUCUUUUCAUUUUUAAAAUCCCCAUUUUCAAGCUAGGGUUUACUCCAACCUUAGAAUUAUUAUCUUAUUAUUAUUAUUCUUAUUUUUAUUUUAAUGCACAAACAUAUAAAACUCCAACACGAUGCUCUUUCUUUUAUCUUAGUGUCUUUGGUUUGAUUUAAUCACUCUUCCGUCUAUAUAUGCUCUUUUCAAGAUGCAAAUAAGGCACAUAAAAUAAGGAAAUCACCAUGUAUUUCUUGUACACAAUUUUGAGUAUUACAAAUGAUGUUCCUCUUAUUUCAGUCAAUGUGAGACAAAAUGAUUCUCAUCUCUGGAAGGCAAUUCUAAGCCUGAGAGAUGAUUUUUAUAAAUGGUACAAAAAGAUUUUGGGUAAUGGCAGAUCUACUAGUUUUUGGAGAAACAUUUGGUGCGGAGAUGUCUCUCUUGCAGACAAAUUCCCGAGGUUAUAUGACCUAGCUCGUGAUAAGAACGCUACAGUGGAAAAAGUUUUGCACUCUGGCUUCCAAUCUCUUUCCUUCAGAAGGAGAAUUAUCGGUGAUCUUUCUAGAAGUUUUGAUGAUUUAGUGGCCUGCUGUAGUACCUUUCAAAUUAACACCCAGAAAGACAUUGUGUUGGUCCUUAGAUAAAAAAGGAUACUCAGUGAAAUCCUUCUAUUUGGAAAAAAAUGUGCUCAGGUUCACGUGCCGUAUUAUUUUUUAUGGAAACCGAGAUUGCCACAAAAAAUCAAAGUGUUCCUUUGGUUGGUGCUGAGAAAUAAGAUAAUAAGAUUCUCACGAAAGAUAACCUCUGCAAAAGAAACUGGCAUGGGCCUGUCGAGUGUGUUUUCUGUGGCAUUACUGAAUCUAUUGAUCACCUGUUCUUUCGAUGCCCUGUUGCCAGAUAUGUUUGGAGGUUGAUCCAAAUCUUUUUGGGCAUUUCCUGCAUCCCUAACAACAUUGAUGAGCUCUUUGGUGUAUGGCUGCGAAAUUUCAAAAGGAUGCAAAGCUUAUCCUCUUUGGUUGUGGGGCUGUUUUAUGGUCUAUUUGGAGAGCUUGAAAUGACUGGUGCUUUGUUAAUAAGACUUUUUAUGAUCCUUCUAAUGUGAUUUUCAUGUGCUGCUUUUGGCUGGAUUCUUGGGCGUCAGACAAAGAAGGAAAAAAGGAAGGUAGAGUAAGGAAGCAGACUCAUUAGAAAGAUGGCAAGUGAAGUGAUGCGUCGUGCCUUCGGCUGGUGUCCGAUAGACCGAUGGAUCGUUGGAAGUUAAUCUUCAUGUCCCUUUGAGCUCUUGGUGCUUGUCUGUUUGUGUGCUCUUUCUGCGUUUGUCUGGACCUCUUGUCUUGCCUCCUCAGGAGCGCGUUUCUUGUAAUAAGUGGAUCUGCGACUGUGCCGUGUGUGUCUGUUUAUGCUUUAGGCUGUUUCCUUCUCUAUCGAGCGCACUCGAUUUUGUUUAGGUCGCCUAGCGUAUCUCCUUUUGUUGCGCCAUUGGUUAAUGUACUCUGUUCACUCAAUCCAAUGGUCGUCCUUGUAAGGUGACUUUUGUUCCUAUUUCUUAAUGAAAUAGGGGGUUAUACCCCAUUGUCAAAAAACUCUCUCAUUUCUUUGCUUUCCUUCUCUUUUUCCUAAAAAAUGGAGAAUUAUUUUGUUUUAUAUUGACAUAAACCUAGUAGAAUGAGCCCUAGACGCGCUUUGGUUGUUGCAUUCAUGCCGUUGCAUGGUGUUUCUAAGUGCAAAAAGUGUUUGAAACAUGUUAGUAUAUCCUAUAGAGGUUCUCGGUAGAUUUUCAUAUUUUUCGGAAUAUUUUCUAUUUUCUAGAAACCAAAAUCUAUUGAUUUGAGGUACUUAAAAAUGUUUUUAGAAACUCUAAGUAUGUUUUUUGAGUUCAUUAGGAGCCAAAACAUUUCUAGGAAAUUUUCUGGAAUUUUUGGAAGCAUCUAUAAUAUUUUGAGCAUAAAAAAUAUGGAUUUCUAAGCUUUUCCGAAUUUUAUAAAAUAGUAAAAUCCAAAUUUGAACCGAAUUUCCAUCUCGUCCGAACCCCAAAUAUAUAUAUAUAUAUACUGUAUUUAUAUAUUACACCUGAGUGCAUUCAAUAUAGAGAAUGCACCCAGGCCGAACCUACGCGCCAGGUCCGAGCCAACCGCCCCACCUAGGCCGUCUUCGUCCCUCCCGCACGCUCCCGACAGAACCUUUUCACUUCCCCGCCCCCACCCCUUUUUCUCCGUGAACGGCUCCUCCGCGAACGGCUCAACCUCUUCACAUAAGUUGCAAUCACACCAGACCAGCUGUUGCAAUUACACCAGACAACAGUUGCAAUCAUUGUUUUGUUUAACAGACUUUUGGACAUAGUUAUAUAGAAGUUGCAAUCACACCAGACCAGCAGUUGCAAUCAUUGUUUUGUUUAACAGAUUUUUGGACAUAAUUAUAUAGAAGUUGCAAUCACACCAGACCAGCAGUUGCAAUUACACCAGACAACAGUUGCAAUCAUUGUUUGUUUAACAGAUUUUUGGACAUAGUUAUAUAGAAGUUGCAAUCACACCAGACCAGCAGUUGCAAUUACACCAGACAGCAGUUGCAAUCAUUGUUUGUUUAAUAGAUUUUUGGACAUAGUUAUAUAGAAGUUGCAAUCACACCAGACCAGCAGUUGCAAUUACACCAGACAGCAGUUGCAAUCAUUGUUUGUUUAACAGAUUUUUGGACAUAGUUAUAUAGAAGUUGCAAUCACACUAGACCAGCACUUGCAAUUACACCAGACCAGCAGUUGCAAUCAUUGUUUGUUUAACAGAUUUUUGGACAUAAUUAUAUAGAAGUUGCAAUCACACCAGACCAACAGUUGCAAUUACACCAGACCAGCAGUUGCAAUCAUAUUUUUUAACAAAAUUUCCCAGAGUUAUUCAGUACUUGCAAUCACAUCAGAGCAACUCAGCAGUUGCAUCCACACUACACCAGCAGUUGCAAUUACAGCACACCAUCGGUUGCAAUCAUUUUGUUUACAUUUUUUUAACAGAUAUUUAGGUAGAAUUAUACAACAGUUGCAAUCACACCUAAUGCGGGUUUGCAAUCACACCUAAUGCGGGGGACAGGGAGGCACGUUGACAGAGAGGCGCACGACGGCGCGGGGAUAGGGAGGCGUGCGGCGGCGCGGGGACAGGGAGGCGCUCGGCGGCGGUGGGGGAGAGGGUGGCGCGGGGACAGGGAGGUGCGUGGCAGCGGCGGGGGGCAGGGAGGCACGCGUACAGGAGGACCGAGGGCGUGCUCGAGGUGUUAUUGCAUCUGGGUGUAUUCAAUAUAGAGAAUGCACCCAGGUGCAUUUUAGUGCCGCCGUAUAUAUAUAUAUAUAUAUAUAUAUAUAUAUAUAUAUAUAUAUAUAUAUAUAUAUAUAUAUAUAUAUAUAUAUAUAUAUAUAUAUAUAUAUAUAUAUAUAUAUAUAUAUAUAUAUAUAUAUAUAUAUAUAUAUAUAUAUGCCUAACUUCUCUUCGAGCCUGUUCCAGAGCAUGAAAUGGUUUCUCUAGAUUUAAUCCCUAGCUCACGGAAUUGCUCACCGAAGUUCAGAGCGAUUCCAACUCUGGCGACAACUCCAGCGAGCAAUUACUCCCAAUCCGUGUAUCAUCUGUGGAAUCCGAGGGUACCGCUGUGCUCGUUUCAUCGAUCGGACCUCCGAAUCUCCGCCAAUCGAAGGAUUUCCCCCUCGGCUCCAGCGAGAGUCUUCUUCCCCGAUGAGCUCCUCCAUUCCUCAUCUCUUUUCUUCGAUUUCUUGGGUUUGAGAGUGUAGCACCUCAUUCCCCUGCCCGGCGGCGCGGUGCCCUACCCCCGGCCCAUGCGCGCGCGGCCCCUGCGGGCGUGGCCCCGUCGCCGGCGUGCAGCCGAACGAACGGUUGGCCGGCCGCGGCGGCCGAGCUCCUGCUCCUCCCCUCGCGCGAACCCACUAGGCGCGGCCACCCGCCCGCGGGCGCGCGGCCCCAGCUUCACCCUAGUCGUGGAGGUUCCUGCAUGAGGAAGAGGAACAUGAGGAAAAUGAUGGCAAUUUCGUAAUAUAGUCCUGUUUCACACACACGAAUUUCAGUCUAGUUUAAAGCAGUGAUAACUUUUGCGUUUUAAACCCGAUUCAAUGCGUUCAAGUUGCGUUAGAUUCGUAUUAAAAUUAUCUACAUGUUAGAAGUAUUUUUUUCCUACUAUUGUAUUUAAACGUUUGUUUGACCGGAGGUUAAUAGAACGACGUUUUAUUUAAAUCUAAUUUAUAAUUUCAAAUUACGUGUUUAUAAAUCAAUAUUAGCUCUGUUAAUGUUAACUGAACUAUUCUAAUUAAAUAAUUGGUUAGUUUAAUUAUGUCAUUUAUUUAUUAGUUUCGCGUAUCGUGUCGGCCCACGUGCCGUGCGCAUAUCGUCCGCGUGCCGCGGUGCUGUUUCGCGUGUGUCGUCGCGUGUCAUUUGCGAGUUUCGCGUGUGUCGUUCGCACGCGUUGUCGCGUGCCUUGCCGCGCGUCGUUCAUGCGUAUCACGCGUUGUCCACGCGCGAGGUUAAACCGUUCGCUUAUAAUCACUCAUGUUAGUUAAUAGUUAUUUAUUUAAUCAGCCACAAUUAAAAUAGUAAGUUAGUCAAAGCUAAGUAGUAGGUUUGAUUUACAGUUAAUAAAUGUCAAUUAAUAUAACCAUGGCGAACUAAAUGUUCUAACCAAUACUUGUUUAGCUUGAACGAGAUAACUUUUCGACCGUAGCUCCGACUAUCGCGUUUCUUUUUCCUCGCGUGACCGUAGUAAUGCGCUCUAUUUCGUUUUGCGUGUUUUAUUAUGUUUUUUGAAUGGUGUAAUGUUCUUAUAUAUAUAUAUACACUGUAUUUAUAUAUUACACCUGGGUGCAUUCAAUAUAGAGAAUGCACCCAGGCCGAACCUACGUGCCAGGAGCACCUGGUUCGAGCCAACCGCCCCACCCAGGCCGAACCGACGCGCAGGCCCUGAUAACUUCAGUCUACACCAAGACCAGCAGUUGCGAUCAUUGUUUUGUUUAACAGAUUUUUGGACAUAGUUAUAUAGAAGUUGCAAUCACACCAGACCAGCAGUUGCAAUUACACGAGACAACAGUUGCAAUCAUUGUUUGUUUAAUAGAUUUUUGGACAUAGUUAUAUAGAAGUUGCAAUCACACCAGACCAGCAGUUGCAAUUACACCAGACAGCAGUUGCAAUCAUUGUUUGUUUAACAGAUUUUUGGACAUAGUUAUAUAGAAGUUGCAAUCACACCAGACCAGCAGUUGCAAUUACACCAGACCAGCAGUUUCAAUCAUAUUUUUUAUCAAAAUUUCCCAGAGUUAUUCAGUACUUGCAAUCACAUCAGAGCAACUCAGCAGUUGCAUCCACACCACACCAGCAGUUGCAAUUACAACACACCAACAGUUGCAAUCAUUUUGUUUACAUUUUUUAACAGAUAUUUAGGUAGAAUUAUACAGUAGUUGCAAUCACACCUAAUGUGGGGUUGCAAUCACACCACACCAGCAGUUGGAAUCAUUUUUUUAACAGGUUUUUUUAGAAUCAGACCAAAAUAUGCAGGGGGUGGGAAAAUACCUGUGAGUAGUGUGACUCCCCAGCAUCCAUGUGGUCUGUGUGCUGAAUUGAGUCAAGCACCCUUUUUGCAAAUAUAUGUAGGCUUGUCACAUUGUUAACAUAACCAUCUUUCAAAACCCUGUUUUUAGCUCUCAGAUCUCUGGGUGGAAGUCAUUCGCCCACAAUACAUGCCUUUGAAUAAUGUUGCUAUCCAUCUCUUCCUUUUCUGCCACAAUGCAACAAUUGCAGGGUGUUCUCUUAUGCCACAUUCAUCCACCAGCUUAUUCAUUAGGGACUGCAGCUUCUCCACCUCAAACUGUGUGGGCCCCAGAGGAUAGUUUAUUAGGGACUGCAGCUUCUCCUUUAGAUUUUUAUCAGGGACUGCGGGGGACAGGGAGGCGCGCGGCGGCGGCGGGGGGCAGGGAGGCGCGCGUACAGGAGGGCCGAGGGCGUGCUCUUAUGGGGAGGCGUGCUCGGGGUGUUAGGUGCUCUGGUUGGACAGGGAGUCUUGGGGUCUGUGCAUCCACAAACUAAAAUAUACAUGGGUGAUAUAUAUAUAUAUAUAUAUGUGUGUGUGUGUGUGUGUGUGUGUGUGUGUGUGUGUGUGUGUUUGUUUGUAUUCGCUGUGCAUCGCGAAUAGAGAAGGUGUUGGCGACUAAGUGAUCAAGCUCUUCGAGUUCUACGAGAUUGAAGACUCUGAGCAUCUGUUUGGUGAAGGCAAGUGUCCUCAGACCUAUUUAUGUCCUAUUCACCUGAUAAUUCAUUUCCCCGCAUUACUUAAUUGAAACCUAGGGAUUGACUAGCUUUGUAUUUACCUUGUCUCUACGCAGUGGUCGCAUCUGUUAUGGCUCCUAUAUUCUCGCUCAGGGAUCUAGGUAUGGGCAUCGUCCCACGCCUUUUUCCUAAGGGCAGAGGUAUAAGUUUUGGGACGUCAUAUGGACUUUAUGUAGUGCUCAUUUCCAACUAAAAGCAACUGCUUUGAGCUUAACUCCACAUAAAGCUAGUCCACCUCAGCCAAAUGGGACAUUUGUUGAGUACGUUGAUGUGUACUCACCCUUGCUUUCACAAAACACCAGGUUGCCUUUAUUGCAUCCUAUUCUCAGGUAAAGAAGAAGAAGGCGUUGAGGCGGAUCUCCAGGAGUUCUAGGACUUUGACGAGUUCGAGGAUUAGGCUAGCGACCUCCCCCAGUCAGCUGCCUGUGGUGGGUUUGUUUACGUUGGCUACGUUCCUAUUAUGUGCACUUUGAUUUAUAUUAUGUAGAUGACUCUAAUCUGUAAUUUUAUUACUUAUUCUUUAUUGUUAUUCGAAGCAUUAUGCUAUGAUGAGUCAUUUAUGUAAUCGUUGUGUACGUGAAUUUCUGAUCCUGACACGUACAUAGUUCGCAUUCGGUUUACUUCAAAACCGGGUGUGAUAUAAGUGGUAUCAGAGCCUUGUUGACUAUAGAACCGCUAUCCUAGAGUAGCAUUGGCCAGUUUAAGGACUUAUUGACUAUUACUUCACUUCAUCCUUGUUGCCGCUUCAAAAUAUUAGUCACCUCGACUAAUUCUAUGUUGUUCUCCUAUAUAUAUAUCACCUCGCCAAAAGUAUUUUAUUCUAGUAUGGUCUAUACUUUUCUCAAUCUAUUAGGUCUGAUCUCACUCUUGUGCUUGCGAGAUCUUUGUAGAUGCCCAUGACCAUAGCCUUUUUGUCUUUUGGGAUUCUUUCCUCUUCCACCAUUAAAUUGCUACCAUUUGACCAUCUCUAUUCCCUUGGCAUUGACAUGCUCGUACCCAUAGAUUCUUCAAUACUCUUGUUUCAAAUACUUACAUUAGAAUUUCUACUGCCUACUUAAAAACUUCAGUUUAUAUGUCCAUGAACUUCUUGUCUUCUGAGAUUGUCACAGAACCUCCCAAGGUAUUAGGCCCACCUACAGAUGUCCUUGUCCUAAGGACCUCGGACAACCAUGUAGAUGCACAUAAUCACUCGACAAGUUCGGUCUUCUGUAUCGUCAUCAUAUCGUCCAAGAGCGCUUCACCCAUCACGCAUACAUUACACAUGUAAUCGGAGGAAGGAAUAAGCGGAAGCAGAUUACAAUAACAUAAUUUACAUUAAUAAAAUAUAGAGAUAGUAUUUAUUACAGUACCGGGUGUUAUGAGUGCAUAACUUAUUAUUACAAAACAGAGAGGUAAAACAUCCUCCCACACAAAAGCUUAGUGUUUUAAACUGGGAGGCAACACACCGUCCCCAAACAGUUUACUGAUUGGCCUCCUCCUUUGGUACCACCUUUGAGCAGAAACAACAAAACUUCGCUGUUUCAUCACCUACAACAACAUGGGUUCGAAAACCCUGAGUACGGAGUGUACUUUCGCAAGUCUUACCCGACAAAGGAAAAGACUCUCAAGGAUAUGCUGGCUUGUAGGAUUCAAGGUAAAGUUGUUCAAGAAUCAAAGACCCUGUUUGCAGAAAUGCUUACUAAUAGUGGAUCCUUAAAAAUCCAGUUUUAUUAGCAGGUUAAGUCAUUACCUGCAUCUAGAGUUCUUUCUAUUAUAUUUCAAGCACUUGGCCUAUGCUAGCCGUCUUUUAUCAACCCUUCACUUUACUAGAUUGCUACGUGUAGGGCAGUGACCAAGUCUUGAUGUCCGAGAAGUAACGGCGAUCCGAAUCGAUUAAUACCCAGCUGAAGAUCUCCAACCACACGACAUAUGUAGCACUUAACCCUUGCAUAUGUCAACUCGCCACCGGGUUUCUCAAGACCAGACCGGGUUCACGCCAACCGAGAGCACAGAUACACCACCGUCCAGCCUCUUGCCCCGGAGGGUACACACUACUCUCGCCAUCUCUCCACUCCCAUUGCGUGUUGGCCUUUCUGGUAUUGGUCCGACUGAGGCAAAGCUUACCCAUGACGAGGCAUGUGGCCAGUUAAAGGGUCCUCAAUCAGCAAGCCUACAUCGACACAGUCCUUAAUCGACUUAGACAGAGACACCACACCGAGGCUUCCUUCUCGUGCAAGUCACCCUCCCGAUCUCAUCUUUAUCAUUUAAAACCCAAAGUUUGGUUCCUGUCAGAGGUACAUCUUUUCCGAUGUUGAACCCAUCAUGGCCAUGAUGGAUUCACCAUCAAGUCUUCUCUUUGAAAACUUCCCAUCCCAUAUGAAGCAUCAUCAUUGUUUAAAACAAAACAUUUUGUUUUCUAAGGCAAGGCUAAGCAUUAGAAAUCUUUUAAGUAAAACAUGUAUCAAGGAAUGGUAAACAGUUCCAAGGAAGGAAAUGCAGCAAUUGUUUAUCACUCAACUCCUAUCACCUAAUGCAUCAUUUCAAGUGAUAAAGUGCUUGAAAUAACAAAGAAGGGGUAAAUGCACGGGGGCUUGCCUUUUUUUGUAGGAGGCUCAGGAUCUGUUCCACAAAUAUCAAAGUAGAAGUUGUUCUCGACAGGUGGAAUUUCAGCUUGUGGGGCAGUUUCUUCUUCGACUACCACUUCUUCUUCGUUUCCUAUACAUAACAAUACAUAUACAUGAAUGCUCAUGUGAUGUUAUGAAUAUGCAGUUACAAUAGAAACACACUAAGUUGUAUCUUGAAUACAACUUUCCUUCAUGGUGCCCACUAGUCACUAGAGUUUCCUAGUUUAGUGCUUUAUUAGGGCUAGGUAUUUAAAUCCUAGAAAACUAGUUUCUUGGGUUUGGGAUCAGACAAUGUCAAUAGCAUGUCAAACUUUACCCAAGGGCUUUAAUCCUCAAGUUAAGCUUGUCCAAAUAGUUUUAUGAUUUUUGGAGCUACCAAAAUAAUUCUAAAAUUCUAAAAGGCUAGGUUUAGGCAUCUUUAAAUGCUAAAUAAAUCUAGGUUUGGACUAAAAAUCUUGGAACUAUUUUUAUUAAAUACUAUAGGUUUUUAGGAGUCUAGCAAAAUUGGUCCCAUAAUUUUGCCAUUUUUGUAGAAUUCCCUAUAAAUUUCCAAACCUGGUAGUAAAAAGAAAAGGAAAAAGAAGGAAUAGAUUGAGCUGAAACCAGCCCAAACCGGCCCACCAAUGUGGGAAACCCGCGCCCGCACGCGCCUACGCGGUGGUUUUGCGCAGAGGCCCCCGACCUUUCGAAUAACUAGUAAAGAAGUUGCGGCACUAUUCCCUUGUCUCUCUAACAAUCACACUUAAACCCCUCAGUUUCUCUUUCUUCGCAAGAUCAAGUCCUCGGCGGUGAACAGUGGUGUGCGCGCUCCGACGAGCUUGCACCGUCCGCAACACCAAACCAUUCAUGCCCUAAGUCGGUCUACACCUAAUUCCACCCCUAGCGAUCGUAAUCCAUCCCUCAAUUGAACUAGGCCAGCCGGGAGUUCUUCUGCCCACGACGGCGAUGAGACCCGAGGGAAACCCGAGGUGUUCCCGAUGACUAGGCGCGGUAUAGCUUUAUUGGCGGGGUCAAUGAGCAUAAUAAACACACGAGAGUGCCGAAACACAAACCAGAAGGGUGAGAGCGGACCUAGAGAUGGCUGACCACGACGGGGUGACUCACGGCGGCACGGAGAGUGGAUAUGGGGGAAAUUCCAAAUUAGGACGCUAUGGUGUACGAUCGGAGGCGAGGGCUGGUGCUCUGGCUUCUUAACAACCUAGCAGAGUUAACGGUGCAAUCAAUUUAUAGCCUUCGGGAGCGGUGCCUCCAAAUUUGAGGAAGGAAGCUGGCGGCCGAAGAGAGGGGGUGAGUCACCGGCGAGCGCUAUCGUGGCAUUCACAGUGCAAGGACUUAUGGCUGUCACUAGCUAUCCCUCAAGGCUUGCGAUGAUGUGGUGAAACGACCGAGAGCGUGGCGUAACCGAGAGAAACGGCGGCACGACAACGAUGGUCGCGUGGCCAUGUCGCGGCGCAAGUGGGUACAGCGAACUGAGCGGUAACAGGGUCCGAGCUCAUCCCAACACCAAGAUCUUUUACCUCGAGUCAUUAUUCAUGCAUCACUGGGCACGAAUCACAGCGCCAGCGUGGAUCGCAGCUCGGGUUCACCGGCGGCGGGGUUCAGUGAAUCUGCGAUCUUCUCUAGGUUACUGUAUAGUGGGAAUUUCAUUCAGUGCACCUGACAGAGCAAUUUAAAGGGCUUGGUUCUCAAAUUUUUAUGUAGUAACUCACUAAUCCAUCUGUGGCAAAGUUGAUCUUCUACAAACCAGCUUGAAUUUUGUUAUAGCAACCAGAAUCAAAUACUCACUAGAUCCUACUCGAAAUUGCUCCCAAAGUCUAUCCCAGUUCACUGUCAGUCCAGAUUCAGUUUUAGGGCUGACUGACAGCCAGACUUUAAGUCCAUUUAUCCCCAAUUUUUGUACAGCACCAAUGCUUAGUCACUUAAUCAAAGUUAUGCUCCUAUCAUAGCUCUACAAGUUUGAUGCAUUGACCUAGGAAAAAAUCUUCAUGAAUUAAGAAAUACAAGGCUCCAAACUGAGCUUAAUCUCACUGAAUUUUCAGAGUUUAACACAUGGGCGUUCUUGGGACUUUUGCAAUUAAGUCCAAAUUGCUCCAUACUACUUGAAAAUUCUCCAAUGUAAAAGUUGCUUGGUUUUUGAUGUUCUACCACUUUUAUAUAUACACUUUGGUCCAAAAGUGUAUAGAAUUUGAAAUCACCCCUAGGGUACAAGUUAGGGUUUUCUAGGGUUCCUUUUAGGGUUUUGAGCACUCUAUGUUUUUUGUGCCACUCAAAUUCAUCAAUCUUGAUCUCUUAUGAAUAUUUCCAAUGACUUUUGAGGUAUUAAUCAUUUUGGCUUCCCAUUACACACAUGCCCUAAUCCCAGGGUUAGGUACCCUACCCUAGGGUUAAGAAUACUUCAAACCACCACAUCACACUUGUUUUGAAGUUUUACCUAGUGGAUGCAUUCUAGGUGUAACAAACAAAAUGAAAUGUCAAUGCAUAUGAUGUCAUGCUCAUGUUUUAGUGCUAGUAACACCAGGGGUGUUACAGCCUAAGUCCUCUAAAAUUAUCACAAGACCAUCAUCAGGAUAACAUCAUCGUAUCAUAAAUGUUUACAUCAUGUUCAUUGAUUAAUUUAAAGCAAUAGCAUAAGCUAACGAUGAUAACCCAAAAAGGUAAACAAGGAUAAGGUAAAUACAGACUAGUCAAUCCUUAGGUUUUCAUAAAGUAAUGCAGGACAGCGAAUUAUAGAGUAAGUAGGACAUAAUAGGUCAGAGGACACUUGCCUUCACUAGGUUGUUGCUCAGAAAGAUCUUCGACAACACAAUAAGGAACCACGGGCUGCUCGUAGUCUAAAUAAAGUGAUCAUACAUUCGAUACAUUUGGUAAAUGACAACUGAACAUCACACCAAUCAUGUACAGACAAUGGAACACAUCUCAAAAGAAAAAGUAUAAACUCAAAAGGGAGUUUAAAUUAUAGGGUGAACUAAUCCCAUCUAGUAGUUGAUUAUUCUUUAAGUGUUGUCCAUGAUUACAUAAUAUGAUUCUAUUCGUUUUAAUGAGACAUAAAAGUUAAACCAGAGAUAAAUUCAUAUAAUACACAUUAUUAAUCUCACAAGAUUAAAUAUCCAUUAACCACUAGGGUUUGUUUUUAUUUAUCUUAUUAAACAAAAUAAAUUACCACAUAAAUUAACCUAUAGCUUAGGCAUAAAAUUAGAAUGUUCAGACAAUGAAUGAUCCUAAUUGUCGGAGAGUAGAUCUCCAGCCGGGUGGAGGAUUGCACCCACCCUAAAUCCUGAGAUGAGGAGGGGCUUAGGCGUUUUGCUUGAUCCUUGGAAUGAACGGGAAGAACGCAAGAACACACAAGGGUUUAGAGUGGUUCGGGCCGCCGAGGCGUAACACCCUACUCCACUAUGGGAUGUAUUGCUUGUGAGCUUGCAAGUCUGAGGUGUGGUCUAAGAUUGCGUGUGUGUGUGUGUAACGGCGCAUGCCUCCCCUUUUAUAGCUGAAGGGGGGCAUGCACAAGGGGACUGGGCCCCGACAUGUGGGCCCAGGGACAUAAAGAAUAUGGUACUUGGAGCCUACUAAUGUUUGUUGCCGAGACAAUCUUCUUGUGCCCUGGCGCCCGAGAUCUGCGUAUCCUUGGCGUGCCGGGGAAGCUUCUUGUGGAAGAGAAGAUGGGUGCAGUGCCCCGCUCGAAACCGGCGCACUGUCCGCCAACAGACUGGUCAGGCGCGCCGUCUGCCCGACGACCCUGACGACGUCUGCCAACGGAUUGGACAAGGCGCAUUUAAUGUCGAGAGGGGUUGUCGCCUGUCAGCGUUGUGGCAGAACCGCCCGAAUUAUUCCAGCUUAAGUGCAUAAGUCACGCCUCAGGGGUCGUAACACACUUAAAUCGGAAUAACCCGUCAGUCCCUCAGAUCUAGUCUGAUAGAGCCACUUAACCAGGAUCAAAUUCCACAAUCUCACUCGAAGGCGAGUCACAGAAGAAAUACAAUAAAACAGGAAACCUCAAAUUAAGUACUGAGUUAUUACAUAAAUCGGAGUUUUUGAGUAACAAAUAAGAGUUCACAAAAUAAAGUGCAGCGGAUAAUCGAUGUCGUCGGUAAUGAGGAAAUGGGCAAGGCCUAGCCCACUACUCCUCAUGCUCCUCUCCUGCCGGAGCAACAUCCCACUCGACCGUCCAACCCGGUGGCAGGGUGGUAGGCCAAGUCACACCAUCAACCAUUUCCUGAAUGGUACCUGCAAAAAUUAUGCCACAAGCAAGGCUGAGUAUACUAAUACUCAGCUAGACUUAACCGGUGUGAGGAGUCUACUCCUCUACCUCUAGACCAUGCAGCUGUUUGGCUGAGGGGUUUGGUUUGCCAAAAGCACUAGCUGUUUUUAAAAUCAAUUUUUAGCUUUUCAAAUUCUAUCAUCAUUAACUUAGCUAGAUUUGCUCCUUCUAAGCAUACAUGGUGACAAGCAUUUAGUCCAAUCAACAAAUUAUCUCAUGUAACCUCAUUUCACUUCUUACUCGAUGCAGUACAAGGGGUCAAGUAGUCUCAUUAGCUGCGAGAAGCAGACGAUUCGAAUCGAGUUUUAACCUUGCAAGGGAAACCUAAACACACGGCAUGUCAGGGUACUCCGACCCCACACAUGACAACCGUCCCCAUCGAUUCCCCGUUCGCGUCCAGGCCUCACCGCCUUGGCAUACAAUGCUCCACUGACCCCGGCUGCCGCCGUGCAGUGACCGCAUUUGUACCCACCAUAGCUAGCAUGGGAGACCCAGUCUCAGGUCGCAUGAGGGAUAAAGUCCGCGCCCGGCUUCAAUCAGGUACUAGGUUUACCGGUUACCAUUUUUCCCGGCUUGACUCAGGUAUCCACACAUUAAUCCUUAAUUCCUUUUCCCGUCUCAUGGACAAGGCAUCCUCCCUGGAUCCAAGUCCAUAGACUAACAUAUAUCCCGUUAUCAAGAUGAAUACAAUCAAUUCCUGACCUCGCGCGAGUGCUAGAAAAAUCACUCGACUUCUACCGAGAUCCUGAUUAGCAAGCAGCUACUCGACCUAGCAUACUAGUAUUCAUCUCAAAAAGGAAUCCUAAGUUCAUGCAACUAGAGGUUUCAAGCAACUCCUACACUUAAGUGCACAUUACAAUCCUACAAGCAUUAAGUGUAGUAAAAUAGCAUAAUUAACAGGUUAUGCAUAAAACUGGGGCUUGCCUUCAAUUGCUGGGGCUGUGGGGAGAUCCUCAAUAGCAGCCUCUGAAGCCUGCUCCUGGUCCUCCUCUUGGACAGGUCCUUGCUCGGGGAUGAGCACGUAUUCUCCGUCGGCAAGAUUACAAUCUAAUGAAUGCAAUGCGUAAGAUAUAUGCAUGAUAUGAUAUGUGUUUUUAGAAAUUGCAACUUUUGACGAUGUAUGAUCUACUUGAGUUAAACAAGGUUAACUUUACUUAUGUAAGACCCUUGGGUGGUAUACUUGGUAAAUUGGGUCAAACUUUAUCUAAGGUAAUUGGUAGGUUUAUUUUUGGGGUUCCACUGAAUUCUUUUUAAAUCUUCGGGAGAGUUGAUAAGUAUUCAAGAUAGGCUUAUUGGGGUGAGGUUUAUUUCUUCUUUCCUUUUCUUUUAUUCUCUUAAAGGUUUUGGAGUAGGUUUGAACUACAAGUUGCUUUUAUAAAAUUCUAAAACUUCUGCAAAAAUUACAGUGGCUUGGUACUGGUGUAUGUUUCUCUGUCUCAAAAUUUGGGGAUCAGAAAGUGAGUAGUUUUCUCUGGACAAAAUUAUCAAAUUUUUGGGCAGAAGGGGUGCUUGAACUACAACUAUUAUUUAACAGUGGGUAAUUCUCUAAAACUUAUUUUUGCUGGCUUUUAGGUGUUAUAACAUGACUUGAUACAAAUUUCUAGCCAUUAAUACCUUUUAUUUAUUUUUUCAUAGUUUUCUCAAGUUUCUAGCCAAAUAGGUGCUUUCUACUACCACUACAUUUGAAAAAUAUCAAACAACAAAGUUCUUAUUUUUCUUAGUUAUUGCUUUGCGCAAGAGCAAUCAUUCUGAAGUUUGGCAUCUUUUUGCUUAAGGGAAGGGGUGGUAUGCAUUAUUUGAAUUAAGUGGCCUUUCUCAUAAAACACUAGCAAUAGGUAUAAGGUUGCUUCUUUUUCAUGGGUUUGCAUUUUUCUCUAGUGGUUUAUCUCAUUACGGACUUAACUAAUUUUUGGUUGCCCAUUAUCACAUUAUUAGGGGUUGUUCAUGAUUUAUUUGGAAAAUGCCUUAUUAGCAUUUUAUAUUUAUUUUCCUUACUUAAAAGGUUGGGCUGAGGUGUUCUUUAUUUUUGUAGUGGGGCUCUGGUGGUUGUAAGUCCACUGGAUUUUUAAUAUUCAUUUUGGGUAUAGUUUUGUAAUUCCAAUAAUUGAUUUUCAGUUCAAAUAAGGCUAAAUAAAGCAUUCUAAUUUAAAACUGAUCUGAACUAAUGGUCUCUUUAAUUUUCCUAGGUUCUCUGCUACUUAAGCAAACUAGGAAAAAUAAUUCUAAUCACUGUUCAUUAAUUUCUAAUGCCUUUCUGAUUUUUCCUAAGUUUUGGGCAAAAUAGCUUUAAAUGAAUAUCUACAUCAUAUUUUCCAAUGCUGGGGUUCCUACUAUUUUCAAACAGUGUCUAAAUGAGGUUUGAAUACCUACAAAUUUUCUUAGGUUCAGUACAGAAGAAAAACUAAUUUUCCUUAAUUAAACAAGGUUUUGUGGGUUUCUGUUUUUAAUUUUUAACUCAAAAAUUCAGAACAGAAAGCAUAGGGUUCAUCAUUUUUAAAUGAUAGUUCAUAAUAUUCAAGAGCUAGCAAAAUUAGUUUGACAACUUUUUAUUAAAAAUUCAUCAAGUUAUGGGUUUUCUAAGUUCUCUGGUCGUUUUAAAAGAUUAACAGAAUUGAUUAAAUGGAAAAACCACUUUGCACUGGGGUCCCUGGCGGAUAUUUUAAGUUUUCUUCGGGGAUCAGUCCUUAGGCUACUAUUCACAUGGGUCACUGACGUUACAGAAAACCCCUCGGGUUAUACAAAUCCUAACUCGAGGUCCUUCUCCUAACUCAAACAGUAACCGCGGCGGAAGAAAGGGCGAAGGGGCUUACCGGCGGCGAGAUUGCUCCGGUGAAGUGGUCGAGGACGUAGGGGAGGUCUCGGGGAUCACAACGGUGUGCGGGUCGCCGUCGGGGAUGGCCGGAGUUGGCCGGUCCACGUGCGCAGGCGGGGGUGCUCGUCGGCGACGGGGAGUCCGACCUGCUCACGGCGAGAUAGUUCAAUUGGACGGGUCAGAGAGGUUCACGGGAUGCCAGAGAAGAUAUGGGUGCAAGGAAUUGGGCGGAGACUCACCGGUUAGCUCUGUCCACGCGCGGCGGCGGAAGACUGAAGUCCGGUGAGGUCGAUCUCGGGCCUCCGGUGAAGUCCGGCCUAGUCCGAGGGCUUGGGAAGCUUCACGGGCCACUGGCGGAGCUAGCCGAAGCACUGGCUCGACUUGGGGGUGGCUAGAGUGGGCUAGCCACGGUGGCCGAAGCUCUGGCGGCAAUGGCGGGCGAAAUUGAGCUCGCUGGAGCUAAGGAGAGGGGGCUGGCCGGUGAAGGUGAGCGCGGGGUGAAGUGGGGCGCGCCUGGGGAGGCUUUAUAGGCACGGCGCGGUGCACGGGCGGUCGUGGACCGGCGAGCGCGCGCGGGCGUGCACUGGGAGGCGCGGUGCGCGAACGGGCGUGAACCGGAGGUGUCAGCCACGGUCGAACACGUGUGCCCGUUGCCUCUGCCCAUGUUCAAGCGCUGGUUGGGUGCAAAUCUUCGCGAAUUUGGGCAAGAUCGCUGUGAAGAAUUUGUUCACCUGACCUUGCUUUGUCUUUUGUGUAUGGACGUCGCGCGGUUUUAGGCUAAGGACAGGGAGUUGUAGCGUCACCAAGGUGUCAGUGUCAGAAUGUCUGGUCCCGAGGUCAAACUGCGCCAAAACCGUGUCAAAUGAAUUUGGUUUGAGUUCAAACUUUUCCAGGACGUGUUCAAGGGAAUUUGGCACAACUUUGAUAUUUGGAUCUUCUAGAUCUUUGGAAAGAGGUCUGAAUUUCAGAAAUUCAGAAAUCUGAAUUUCUCCAAGGGUUCAAGGUUUAAGGGCUGAUUUGGGAAUUUUAAAAAGACCAAAAGGCCAAACUCUCUCUUACCAUGUUUUGUUAGUUAUUUGGUGAACUAAAGUUUUGUAAUUUGAUCAUAUCUUAAAUUUUUGCAAUUUCCCUCAUGACUUCUCCUAAUUCCCUUUUAUGCUUAACUUGGCUUACUUAGGGUUUAUUAGGGUUGCAACAUUAUUACCUUUUGGGAGGUCCCAUUUGCUUUGAUCAUGAUACUUUUAAGUAUAUGCUUGGUGAAUUCUUUAUUCUUAAGUUAAUUUGAUGCUCAUGCUUACUUUGGUUCACAUAAAAUGAUGGUUCUUGGUUUGGCAUUUUAAGAGAAAACCCUAGGUGACACUGGGGUGUCACAAGCGUGGUGGCAGGCAGCGUGUCCCUUCCAUAAUAAAUGCUGAGGUCGAACGGUUGCAUGGGCCUUACGUCAGGUUCGGCCCACCGGCUUAUGUCACGGGCUUCAGGCCAAGCGGCAGCAGCGGGGCUCCGCCUGGGCAAGAAGCCCCUACUCGAGAGGUGGACACGUGUGGGCACCAGACCCUUAUUCGAGCCGGGGUCUUCCAGGUCUCGGAGCCCGGCCAGGGCCCGGUCCCUGCUCUGAGGGACCUGGGGCUUACCCGAGGGACCCGGCAUGCCCUCCUGGGAGUUCCGGACCCGCUAGUACAGGGGUUCGGCGUCCUUCCACGGAGGUCCAGACCUAUCGAUGCACCUUGGGGAGCCUUAUCUCUCCUUGCCACGUGGCGCCCUCGGGCCUGCCCAAGCGGUGGGGUCAGGCGUCGUUCCCCGCGUGGCAAGGAGACGUCGCAUGGGUGCGGCGUCGUCAUGCUGUAGAAGAGGGUACCCCUGAUUUAGGGUACCGACAGUGGCCCCCGGGCCCGCCUCAAGGCAGGAUGCGAGCCUGCAGGUGGGACCAGAGUCUGUUUGGCGGUUUAGACUACAGCUCCUGCACGCCUUGUUGCUGCAAUUACUACCGGCCCGCCAAUGGCCAUGCCAACUACCGCGCUUAUUCCCGCGGCUUGACUGGCCCAUGACCAUCGUACUUAAUAGCACUGUUGGGCCAUGCGCGGGGCUGCCUCGAGUCGCUGCACUGGUUCUGAAAAAUUUGCCUUUUCAGACUCCCGUGAAGGUCCCGAGAAGACGUGGCAUUGGCGCAAGUGGCAGUGCGAUUUUUUCGCACACGGUAACCGGCGCGCCGGUUGCAUGACAUGUGGGCCUGGGCCCCCGUGUUGGACCGCCAGUUGCAGCGGAGCUGAGAGGGCGCACAGCCGUGGGACGGUUGUACGCUUCUUGCGCGGCGGUUUGCCUUUUUGACCGCUAGAUACGACGAAGAUGAAGGAGCGCUUAACCGUGGGGCUGUUGCAUGCCCCUUGCACGACAGUUCGCCUUCCUGACCGCUGGUUGCCCCAAAACUGAAGGGGCGCAUAACCGCAGGGCAGUUGCACACUCCUUCUUAGGGUUAGUCUAUAUGACAUGUGGGGCCUGGCCCCCAUGUCAUAAGGUGCACGCCGGGGGAGACUUCACCUGUGACGCUUCAGGGGCGCGAGUGGGGGGAUCUGCCUUUAAAAAGGGGUCGAUCUCCCGGGCAGUAGACAUGCCUCGCUCUUCUUGCGACCAUCGCGCCUUUACGCCUUCCGGGCCUCCAGAUGGGGUGCGCCGGUGUUCUUUGGAAGGAUCCGCGUCAAGGCCGUCUUUUCUAGCGACUUCACCGCCGGGGAGCGCGCGCUCGUGGUGGUGCCGUCGGUCUUGUUUUCUUCUUGCUGCUGUUGGAGGGGUGCAACCCCAUGGGAGUUGGCACCCUUUCACCAUCAUUCGGCUUCAAGGAUUUUCAUCAUGCAGCCCGGCUGCAGUCCCCCGUUGGUGGUCAUCCAGAAGGAUGACUACCAGCCUUGUGGUGGGGAGAAGCAAGCCGGGCUGCGGCCUCCCUCCUGCCCUCAGCUUCAAGGAUGUUCAUCAUCCGUGCUGGGGAGGAGGGUGUGCCGAGUUGGGGCCCCACCUCCGCGUGGGUAGCGGCCCGCUUUUUCCCUCAGUGAUCGGGGGAGAAGGGCGUUCACUAUUCAUGCGGAGGAGCCAAACUUCGGAUACACGGGGCUGGCUGACUGCGGGUGUCGCCAGCCGUCGCGUGCCCGAUGCCUUGGCAUGGAUGGCCUCGGUGCUGCCUCCGACACUGCCUUCUGCAGCUGGGGCACGGCUGCCCGUUCACCGAACGGGCGAUGGUAGCGCCGUGUGCGGGUUCGCCACACUCACGGCUUCUCUCGCGUCACCGGUGGUACUGGUGGGUCACACAUGGCGUCGUACGUUGCGGGAGCGGCGAUCGUGUUCUUGGAUGUCCUCACUCCCUCCCCUAGCAAAGACGGGAGUGAGGACCUAUAAGCGUGCUGGGGCAGCCGCUACCCAUCGGUGCAGGGGUGGUUGUCGUCACUGGUGAGGCCAUCGGUGCUGCCUGUCGCUGGGCCUCCAACUCUUUGGCUUUAAUGGCCUGUUGCCCCCCAAAGGAAGACGGGGGGCGAGGUCCUAUCAGCGGUGCACUUGCUGAGGUGGUCGCCGCAGCUGGCGAGUCGUCGGUGCAGAGGCGGCCGUCGCCGUCGGUGCUGAUGCGGUUGCCUCCACUGGCGAGCCGCUUGGGGCUUGUUAUCCCGCGGCCCAUACCGGUGUGGAGGUAGUUCAUUCCUGCAGAAAUGGAGCUAGGGUCCCACUUGUAAGGGAAUGUAAUGACAUUUGCUUGAGGGCAAAAUGUAAUAACAUAUGUACAUAGGGUUUUAGCCUGGGAAGCCAAGUUGUGUGUCCGAACCCCCUAGAUGGUGGCUUCAACUACUAAGACAUCCGCCACAGGGCGAUGGAGUAUGCAGGCUCACGGUACGGGAUCAGGCUGAGCGGCUACAUGGUUUCCGGACCCCCCAGGAGACAAGUGCCCGUUCUUCAGAGCCGGACCUCCAGGUUGUUGGACUCACAGGACUUUAGUUUUAAACACUAGGACGCCCGUCACGGAGUGGGGAGUGUGCAGGAUUUUGGGUACGGAACCAGGCUAACCAGCCACACAGGCUCCGGACCACCCUAUGGAACGGGCAUCCGUUCUUUAGAACCGGCCCCCAGGCCUUCCCCUAUUUUUGUAAAGAAAUAAAUAUUAUCUUCUAAGCAGCAUUUAACACUUAUCUGUGCAACGCCUGUUCCUGUUGUGUGCGAUGUUGUUGACUCCUCCUUAGUACCUGGCCCCCCGCCUGGGAUGCAGGCUUGAUGUGUUGAGGUUGGAUGCCAACGUUUCUGAAAAGGUCGUCAACAAUCCUCGGGAGGCAGACUCGUCGGGAUCUGGAUCUAUACACAACUUUUAGAUAGGAAGCAUUAGUAGUACACCUCAUAGGGUUCUCCAUCUGACAUUAGUCGCCCUUUGAUACAUGCUCGGGACCUGCAGGUUUUAGUUCGGGUGGCCAAGUUGCGCGUCCGGACCCCCUUGGGUCGCAGUUCCAGAUACUAGGACACUUGUCGCAGGGCGGUGGAGCGUGCAGGCCCACGGUACGGGACCAGGCUGAGCGACUGCAUGGGCUCCGAACCACCCCAGGAGACUAAUGUCCAUUCUCUAGCUCUGGUCCCAAGGUUGUUCGACCCGUAGUACUUAUAACUCCAUAUACUAAGUCCCCGUCACGGGGUGGCGGAGCAUGCAGGCCCAUGAUACAGGACCUAGCUGAGCGGCUACACGGGCUCCGGACCACCCUAUGGAACGGGGUCCCAUUCUCCAGAGCCGGCCCCAGGCUGUCGGACCUCCCUACUUUCGUAUCAGGAGCCCUAAACUGCAAGCCUGGCUGUUCAAUUUGGAUGUCGCCAUGUCAGACAAAUGGAAACUGUACGGGUGGGUUAGCUUAAAAAGUAUUAUCUGAAAAACUGUGAGGUAGGACCAUGGAGCAGCAAGAUGGAACUAUCACAAGAGCGCAACUGAGGGGGUAGUUUCUCUUUAUAACUUGUCGUGCAUGUGUGCAGACCAAUAGUCCGGGUUCAUGGGGGCAGACCCCACCGGGUUGUCGUACACGUAUGCGUUAUCUAGUUACAAGAAAGGGAAACAGACUCGACCCCUUAGUCUUGCCCUGUGGAUAGAACUUACAGAGAUAUUUGGCAUCAGGGUAAGGUGCUCUUCCAGUCGUAGCUAGAUGGUUGCCCCUGGGUCGGUGCAUUCCCGUUACCUCGAAGGGUCCUUCCCAGCUGGGGGAGAGUUGCGGAGCCCUUCUUGGUACGGUAUUUGUCGUGGGGCUAGGUCUCGACCUAGAGUUCCCAUCUGCCUUUGACACGGGAGCCCUCCUUCUAGCGCCAGGAGCCUCGUCUCUGGCUGUGGUCACUUUUGCAUGUACCUGUCUGUAGUUUGGACUCGUGGGGGGUCCGGUAGGGCCUCCGGAGGAAGGCGUGCUUCAGUUUCGUAGGCUGGGGAACGCAGAGUCCCACCGAGGUCCAUCUAGCUGUCUUCACCGGAGUAGGAGCCUCCUGCGAAGACAUCCUUCAGGUCUCCCUCGGGCGACUAAUACCCAAGGUCCCGCUUGGCUGUGGCCACCUCGCCAUUGUCCACUUUCUCCUUGCCAGGGCGGCGGCGAGGCAGGGAGCCGUCUUUGGAAGACUGCUCGCGCCGCUCGCUGACGCGUUUUGCAAGAUCAAUGAUCUCGCGACACUCCGUGGCGCUGUGGCGACCGUUCGGGUGCACAAGGCAUGAACCGCUGCCACCUCUCUGCGGCCGCGGGCAUUUGUUGCGGUCGCCCUGGCCCCCGGUCGCUGUUGCGACCACCAGAGCGAUGGACCGGGGCUUCUUGUAAUCGCGGUCCUUCUUCUUUUCUUCUUUCCAUCUUCGAGGACGGCCCCCGAGCCACCCGACUGGGCAGCUCUAGCUUGUGGGGCUGAGUGCCAUGCACGGCCCUCGGCAGCUCUGGCGCACUUGUCGGCCAGAGCGAAGAGCGUGGGGACAGUUUCCACGUCAUGUGUGGCCAACUUCUCCAACAUUUUUUCAUCACGUACUCCCUAUCGGAAGGUCGUGAUGAUAGAAGCAUCAGAAAUACGAGGUAUCAUACCUCGUACCUUGGUGAAGCGGGAGAUGAACUUCCGAAGGGUCUCCCUUGGCUCUUGCCUUACUGCAUGGAGGUGGGUCUCCACACCGUGCUGUUGGUAAGCACUAGCGAAGUUCGCAAUGAACCGCGCACAGAGUUCUUCCCAGUAGUAGACUAAUCCCAGGGUGAGGUUCAUGAGCUAGUUCCGGGCUGGUCUAGACAAGGCCACAUGAAAAUAUGUUGCCAUCAUAGCGGUGUUUCCACCUGCUGCCGUGAUGGCAGUAACGUACACCUGCAGGAACUCAGACAGGUUUGAUGUUCCGUCGUAUUUUUCUGGCAGGUGCAGCCGGAACUUGGGCGGCCAGGACGCCGCGCGGAGAUGGUCCGCAAGUGCGGCGCAGCCCACACCGGCCAGGGGGACACCCGUUUGGGAUCGGGUGCCCAUUGGUGUCUGCGGUGCAACCGCAGCGAAGUCUUGAUCGAGGUCGCGACCAUCGAUGUUUUGGCGGCGCUCGCGCGCCCUUUCCAAGGAUACCCGUGCGUCCUCUCCCGCACGCCUGCGGUUGAGCUCUGCCCGGAGGUCGUUGGUCUGUGCGCCCCUUACUGAGGGCGAGCGCACAGACGCUGACGCCUUGUGUUGGUGCCGAGAUGACCGCGUCUUCGACCUUGACGAGGUAGAAUGCGCCAUACUGAGCAGUCGGUCGACAACAUCCCUCCAUUGCUUCAUGGCUCCUGGUGAAGCCGUGGAGCUUGGAGGGUGUCACAACAACUCCCUGGCUGCUGGCAAUGCCCCCGGAGACGCCCUUGAUGGAGUCCGGACGUUUGCGCUACCGUGUGCUGCCAUGCGGCGUGCACAGCAGGAGUGAUUGGUGCUGGGCGACUGGGAACUUGCGGCGCGGAGGAAGCAGCUUCUCCCUCCAGCACAAAGUCAACCGAAGCCUCGGCGCGGUGCUCAAUGAUCUGCACCAUCAUGCUUGGGUAAGGGAUCAAACAAGAACCUAAUGCCUAGCCCCUACCUGGCGCGCCAAAUGUUGGAGAGUAGAUCUCCGGCCGGGUGGCGGAUUGCACCCGCCCUAAAUCCUGAGAUGAGGAUGGGCUUAGGUGUUUUGCUUGAUCCUUGGAAUGAACGGGAAGAAUGCAAGAACACACAAGGGUUUAGAGUGGUUCGGGCCGCCGAGGCGUAACACCCUACUCCACUGUGGGAUGUAUUGCUUGUGAGCUUGCAAGUCUGAGGUGUGGUCUAAGAUUGCGUGUGUCCAUAACGUCGCAUGCCUCACCUUUUAUAGCUGAAGGGGGGCAUGCACAAGAGGACUAGGCCCCGACAUGUGGGCCUAGGGAUGUAAAGAAUAUGGUGCUUGGAGCCUACUAAUGUCUGUUGCCGAGACAAUCUUCUUGUGCCCUGGCGCCCGAGAUCUGCGUAUCCUUGGCAUGCCGGGGAAGCUUCUUGUGGAAGAGAAGAUGGGUGCAGUGCCCCGCUCAAAACCGGCGCACUGUCCGCCAACAGACUGGUCAGGCGCGCCGUCUGCCCGACGACCCUGACGACGUCUGCCAAUGGAUUGGACAAGGCGCAUUUAAUGUCGAGAGGGCUUGUCGCCUGUCAGCGUGGUGGCAGAUGGCGCGUCCCUUCCAUAAUAAAUGCUGAGGUCGAACGGCUGCAUGGGCCUUACGUCAGGUUCGGCCCAUCGGCUUAUGUCACGGGCUUCAGGCCAAACGGCAGCAGCGGGGCUCCACCUGGGCAGGAAGCCCCUACUUGAGAGGUGGACACGUGUGGGCACCAGACCCUUAUUCGAGCCAGGGUCUUCCAGGUCUCGGAGCCCGGCCAUGGCCCGGUCCCUGCUCUGAGGGACCUGGGGCUUACCCGAGGGACCCGGCAUGCCCUCCUAGGAGUUCCGGACCCGCUAGUAUAGGGGUCCGGCGUCCUUCCGUGGAGGUCCGGACCUAUCGAUGCACCUUGGGGAGCCUUAUCUCUCCUUGCCACGUGGCGCCCUCGGGCCUGCCCAUGCGGUGGGGUCAGGCGCCGUUCCCCGCGUGGCAAGGAGACGUCGCAUGGGUGCGGCGUCUUCAUGCUGUAGAAGAGGGUACCCUUGAUUUAUGGUACCGACACUAAUUUAUUUGAAUAGAGAAACAUUCUAUGAACAUUUUGCAAUUUGAAUCACUCAAUUUAUAGUUCAUAUGAAAAAGAUAUGAAAUAAACAAGUUUUGAAAUUUAAAAUACAAAACUAGGUCUAAUUCUGUAAUUAAACAGAAACCUAGGGUUCAGUCUGCAAGGUCGUAGGGGCUUAAGCGCAAAACUAAGGGAUGACGGGUUCUAUAACCCGAGAACUGGGGGUCCUUUUUACAAAAAACAGAAAACCGAAUGGGUAUCGGGCCUUCCCAACCGUCAGAUCUCAGAUAGACGGCCAGGAUUAGAACUGGCGGGGUGAGCGCGCGGGCGCGUGGACACGGAUGCCUGGCAUGCGGGGUCCACGAGCCAGGGACUCGGGCGAGCGGACGGCUGGGCGCUAGGGCACCAACGUCUGAUGGGUGGGGCCACAGUAAGAUCAGGUCUGCUAGUCAGCGAUGCGGGGCAGGCGCAGACACGACGGCGAGUACACACACGCGGGCGAGGCCCACCACGCGGCGACACAGAACGGAGGGGAGGAAGGGGUAGGCGCUAUGCUGACACGUGGGACCCAGGGUCCACCGGUUAACGACCACACAAGGGGAACGAGGAAGCGGAAAGGGGUGAGGCUGACGGGCGGGUCCUCCUUGUCACGACCGUCGUCUUCUCGGUCGCGCGCACAGCGUGAGCUCCAUGGCUGGAGCCGGUGACUCUGUGCGGGUGAAGAAGUCAUGGGGCAGUUGCGGUUGGCCGAGGGGUCUCGGUACGACGGUGCAGUACCGAUACCAGUGAUCAUCGGCGACUAAUUGAUGGAACAGAGAAAACGAGGGAGAGAGAAAAAGAGGUCCGGUGGGGAAAUUCACCUUGGGUGGGGCGAGAACGACGACGAGGCUGUGCCUGAUGAUGGUGGAGCGCGGUCGGGGACGGUGGCUGAGCUCUGCUGGGGGCGGAUUCAGGCGUUGGAGACCUAGCGACGGGGAAGCUCCGGCGAGCUUGAAGAACGGCCGCGCGCAGCUCGGGUGAGUGUGCAGGGGCGAAAUGAGUGAGGCAGGGGGAAGUGAGGGUGUGCGGGGACUUGAGGAGGGUGUCGAGGUGUUGGUUUGGCACCGAGAGGCGACGUGGGCGCGGCGAUCUCGGUGUGCGCGCACGCGGGCGAGCGGUUGAAGGAGGGGAGAGAGACUGGCAAGCGGGGCCCGUAGAACAGCGACACGGACGCACGAGCGCGCAACGGGCCAGGGCGUUGACAAGGUAGGCCCACAUGGCGGCAGAGAGAGGGAGGGAGAGGGCGUGCGGGCGCGAGAUCCACCGCUGAUAGGUGGGCUCCACCGGUCAUACUGAGCGGGCGCACACGCGGAGCUAGGCCGGCUUGGACUAGCUGGGUUGAAUUGGGAUUUUCUAUUUCCUGAAAUUUCUAAUUGCUUUUCUAUUUGAUUUUUCUCUAGGGUUUUCAAUGCAAAUUCAAACCAAGUUUCAAAUUCAAACUAAUUCAACCAUGUGCAACAAUUCAAAGAAUAUUUGAGCUCAGCAUGAUGCAACAUUUCAUGUCUCAUAUUGUUUUAACAAAAUAAAUAAUUAAUCUCUCACUAAUUAAGCUACAUCUACUCAAAAUAAAAGAGAGAGAGAGACUAGAGAGAUACAAGAGUAACACUUGAAUUUGGUAGAUAGUUAGAAAGAAAUUUAUACCCCCAAAUUCAGGGUGUUACAGACCUAUCCCCCUUAAAAAGAAUCUCGCCCUCGAGAUUCAGGGUUGGCUAGCAAAGAGUUCAGGGUACUUGGCUUUGAGAUCAUCUUCUCUUUCCUAGGUUGCUUCUUCUGAGUGAUGACCCCAUUUGACUUUGCACAUCCUGAUGGUGCUUCUCCGAGUGACCCGAUUUGUUGUCUCUAGAAUCUAAGUUGACUUCUCAAUAUAUGUCUGAUCUUCUUGAAUUUCAAGGUCCUCUGUUGGCAACUGCUCUUCUGGUACUCACAAGCAUUUAUUCAGCUGAGACACAUGAAACACGUCAUGCACAGCUGACGGACUCUCUGGUAAGCUGAGUUGAUAUGCCACUUCUCCACAUCUUGCUUGAAUCUGGUACGGUCCGAUGUAUCAAGGUGCUAGCUUGCCUUUGACUCCGAACCUUUUGAUUCCUCUAAUGGGUGACACUUUGAAUUAAAAAUAAUCUCCCACUUCAGAUUCUCUUCUUCGGGUGUCAGCAUAGCUUCGCUGUUUGGACUGCGCUGUCUUCAGAUUCUCUCGAAUCAUUCUGAUGUUCUCUUCGGCCUCAAGUAGAAUAUCUGGACCGAACACCAGCUUUUCGCCGGGUUGGUCCCAAUGCAACGGAGUUAUGCAAUUCUUCCUAUAGAGUGCUUGGAACGGUGACAUCUUCAGACUGGCUUGGUAGCUAUUGUUGUAGGAGAAUUCUGCAUACGGUAGCCUCUUGUCCCAACCUAACUUGUCUUGCAAAGCACAAGCUCUCAAUAUAUCUUCAAGAAUCUGGUUGGUUCUCUCAGUCUGACCAUCUGUCUGCGGGUGAUAAGCUAAACUGAACUUCAAGUGUGUGCCCAAAGCUUCAUGUAUUUGCUGCCAAAAAUGAGAAGUGAACUGGGUGCCUCUGUCUAAUACUAUCUUCUUUGGAACACCAUGCAAGCACACAAUCCGAGACAUAUAGCUCUGCCAACACUGCACUAUUAUAGGUGGUCUUGACUGGUAUGAAAUGGGUCGCCUUUGUCAAAUGUUCCACUACUACCUAGAUGGAGUCAUAACCAGCACGAGUGUAGGGCAGACCAACUAUAAAGUCCAUCCCAAUCUCAUCCCAUUUCCACUGAGGAAUCUGCAAUGGCUGCAACAAACCUACGGGCCUUUGAUGUUCUGCCUUGAUCCUCUGACAACUGUAGCAUACAGCCAAAUAUUCUGCUAUCUCCCUUUUCAUUCCAUACCACCAGAAUCUUUUCUUUAGGUCUUGGUACAUCUUCUCGCUACUAGGGUGUAUAAAGUAUGAUGUUUCAUGAGCUUCCUUGAGAACCAGUUCCCGGAUCGAUUUGAUGUCGGGAACACACAGUCUAUCCUUGAACCAUACCACUCCUUCUGCGUCUUCACGGAAAUCCUUGCCUUUUCCAUCUAUGAUCAGCUGUUGGAUCUCGUCGAUCUUCUCAUCAUCUUUUUGGCCCUUCCCAAUAUCUUGCUCUAGAGUGGGUUCCAGCUCAAUUGUCACUCCUUGAGUGUUGUUCAGAAAUCCGAGACUCAAUCUAUCGAAUUCCUUUGCUAGCUCAUAUUGCAUGGGGUGAGCUUUGCCUGGGUGAUAAUGUAUCUCUAGUUCAUAAUCCUUGAUCAACUCUAGCCAUCUUCGCUGCCUCAUGUUUAGCUCUGAUUGGGUGAAUAUGUACUUGAGACUCUUGUGGUCCGUGUAGAUAUCACAUUUCUGCCCAUACAAAUAGUGCCUCCAGGUCUUCAGUGCAUGAACCACUGCUGCUAAUUCCAGAUCAUGAGUAGGGUAAUUCUUCUCAUGAAUCUUCAGCUGGCGGGACGAGUAUGCCACUACUUUCCCUUCCUGCAUUAACACACAUCUCAGUCCGGUGUAUGAAGCAUCACAGUAUACUGAGAAUGGCUUGUGAACAUCUAGUAGAAUCAAUAAUGGGGUUGUUCUUAACUUCUUCUUCAAUGUCUCGAAUGACUCUUGGCACGCCGGGGUCCACUUGAACUCAACUUUCAUUGCCAACAAGGCGGUCACUGGCCUGGCAAUUUUAGAGAAACCUUCGAUGAAACGCCGAUAGUAACUGGCCAUUCCAGUGAAACUCUUGAUUCCUCGGACAUCUUUCGGUGCUUUCCAGUCCAGAAUAGCUGCUACCUUCUUCGGAUCCACAUCCAAUCCCUCUCGGUUUAUAAUGUGACCCAAGAACAGAACUUCGCUGAUCCAGAACUCGCACUUGCUAAGCUUGGCAUACAACUGGCAAUCUCGUAGCCUCUGGUGUACUUUCCUCAAGUGCUCUUCAUGCUCCUGCUCAUUCUGGGAAUAUACAAGGAAAUCAUCAAUGAACACCACUACAACCUUGUCGAGGUAGUCCAUGAACACACUGUUCUUCAAGUUCAUGAAAUAAGCUGGCACAUUCGUUAGACCGAAUGACAUGACCGUGAACUCAUAUAGUCCAUACUUGGUGAUAAAUGCUAUCUUCGGUAUAUCGGAAGGUCGGAUUCUGAGCUGAUGGUAACCUGACCUCAGAUCUAUCUUUGAGAACACACCGGCUCCUCUCAAUUGAUCGAAUAGGUCUUCAAUUCUGGGCAGGGGGUACUUGUUCCUGACAGUGACUUCAUUCAAGGAUCUGUAUUCAAUGCACAUCCUUUUCGUUCCAUCUUUCUUCUCCACAAAUAACAUUGGGGCUGCCCAAGGUGAGGUACUUGGUCUGAUGUAGCUUUUCUCUAACAACUCAUCAAUCUGCUUCUUGAGUUCCACCAAUUCUGGUCCGGACACUCGAUAGGCUCUCUUGGAAAUAGGGGUGAUGCCAGGUAUAAGCUCUAUGGCAAAUUCAACUUUCCUUUCAGGGGGCAUACCUGGUAACUCCUCGGGAAACACAUCUGGGAAUUCUGAUACUACAUUGAUAGCUUUUGAUGGUUCGAUUCCCUCAAUAUGGGCAGUGACUUGGUGAUGGCUUCCUUUCCUUGGUCUAGACAAGACCAACUCCACUAAAACUUCCUCUCCUGAUAAGGACACUAACUUCACUGUUCCGUUGUCACAGCUAAGACUAACUUGAUACUUGGUUAGCCAAUUCAUCCCUAGGAUGACAUCUAUAGUAGCAUCCUGGUUACCCAUAACUAUUAGAUCAGCAGGGAACUCUAUCCCCCCUAUUUGAACUCUUGCACUAGGGCAAAAUUUAUCAGUUUGGGUUCUCCCACCAAUUGAACUAACCUCAUAGGUGGAUACAUGGGUGCUACUGGUAUAUUGUGUGAUUCUACCCAUGAUACAGUCACAAAAGAAUGUGUUGCUCCAAUAUGAAAUAACACAUUUGCAGAAUGGUACUCGACUAAGAACGUACCUAGUGCCACUCCUGGGGUCUCCUGGACUGUGUCGGCCUCCAGGUGGUUCACCUUUCCAUACUGGGCACGAGGCUGCCCAUGGUUGUUGCCUCCUUGUUGCAAUGCAUUCUGCCUAGCAGGGGCAUUGGGAGCUGGUUGCUACUGAGCUGCUUUCUUUGGGCAAUGAUUCGCCCAAUGGCCUUGUUCCCCACAGUGGAAACAUGCACAGCCUCCUCCUUGCACUGGAGCUACUUGGUUGUUCUGGUUGGUUGCUGGGGCAGGAAGGCGACAGCCUGGUUGCUCUGACGCUGAUACUGAUUUCCUCCAUGCUGGUUGUUCUGACGGUACUGCUGUUGCUGAGUAAACCGCCUCUGGUACUGCUGCUGCUGGUUUUCGCACUGAUGCUGGUGCUAGUGACCUUGCUUGAAUUGUUGAGGUGGGUUGCUUGAGUAGCGGGGACAGUUGCUACUCCCAGCCUGAGAUCCACCAAUCUUGUGUUUCCUGUCUUCCAUCUCCUGGCGCUUCCUUUCAGUCAUAAUGGCUCUAUCGAUCAAAUGUUGGAAGGUAGGGAAGGUGUUUCAUCAGCUGGUAGUGAAGGGGGUCAACCGAACCUCUCAGGAAAUGGUACUCCCUCUUAGCAUCCAUGUUAACAUCUUCUGGCGCAUAACAUGACAGCUGCAGAAAUUUGUCCCUGUACUUACUAACAGACAGGGGACCUUGCUUCAACGCUAGGAAUUCCUCCUUCCUUACUAUCACCACUCCCUCGGGCACAUGGUAGCGAUGGAAGUUGUCCCUGAACUCCUUCCAGGUGAUGGCUUUAGGGUCGACAUGGGUGGCGAGGUAAGACUCCCACCAAGACUGUGCAGCUCCUCUUAGCUGUCGGGGACCAUACAACACAUUCUCAUGAACGUUGCACUGAGCAAUGUGCAACUCACGUUCCACGGUACGCAGCCAAUCUGCGGCGUCCAUGGGAUCAACAGAAUGGGCAAAGACAGGGGGAUGGCCCCUCAUAAACUCUGCCCGACUUUAUGGUCGGCAUGGGUGGCGAGGUAAGACUCCCACCAAGACUGUGCAGCUCCUCUUAGCUGUCGAGGACCAUACAACACAUUCUCACGAUCGUUGCACUGAGCAGUGUGCAACUCACGUUCCACGGUACGUAGCCAAUCUUCGGCGUCCAUGGGAUCAGCAGAAUGGGCAAAGACAGGGGAUGGUCCCUCAUAAACUCUAUCUGCUUGUUUCUGGGCACUUGUGGCAUUUGGACUUGCACCUGAGGUUAAGGUGGGGGUGGCUGCUGCUGCACCUGCUACAUUGCUGCUAAGGUCUGACCAAUCGCUUGGACUGCAUGAGUUUGCAUCAGGAACAUCUGUUCAAUAGUCAUCGGGGGUGGCGGUGGCAACUGCUGCUGAGCUGCCUCCUCUUAGGGUGCCUGCUGCUCCUGCUGAGCACGCCUUCCACCUCUGCGCCUGUUCUCAGACAUCUGUAGAAAGCACACACAAAUAAGAUCCACUUCUGCAGUCUUUCAACAUAAGAAAAGAUAUAUGUAAAUCUUUAUAGCACUUAACAAUUGGUCAUCUUCACUAAAUCCCAACAUAGCUUCUCAAAUAAAGAGGAAAGUGCAAAUAGAUGGGUUGCCCAACUAAAUAACCGACUUUAUUAAUAACUACACCAAGUUGCAGGGGAUGCCCACACCUUGGUAACAAUCAUUACAAAGAUCCAACUUCAUUACAAGUUCAUCACGACAAGCAUCAAGGCAUAUGACAAGCAAACUAACUCUAACUAAGACUAACUGAGACUAAGACACUGAAUUAAGCAUUAUUACAGACUCCGACUCUGUCGAUCUAUGGAUCCAAAUCUAUCUGGGUCCUACAGUCAGGGGUACCAUAAUCGAAGCGACCACGGGGCGACGAACGGUAAGGGUGCUGAAUCCCGACAGGGGCGGGAGAACCACCAUCCAAAUAGUGGCGUGUUGCACACUCAGCACGCAAUAACGCAACCUCCGCCCGAACCUUGCCCAACUUGUCAAGGGCGUGGUCUAGCUCGGUGUUGAGCAUGACGACCAAGUUGACCAAACUGUUCAGCCUCGGAUUGCCCUCUCCAACGGGUGAGAGAAUCACACUUACAACACUGCCGAUCGCACGACGAGGGUAGUACUUCAGGUCCAGGCCAUCAACUACCCCGCUGAACAAUGAGCAAUACUGAGAAAGUGCACGUUGUGCUACAUCUUGCAUGGUGGCCUCGGCAGUAUCCCUCUCAGUGAUAGAAUAGUCUCUGAGAAGGCCUCUGCACCCCAGAGAUCAUUGUCCGGAUGGUGCACCAAGCAAGUAGCCUCCCACUGGUCCGAGUAUAACCCACGACGAUGCUGAUAGACUACACAACGGUACUCGAUGGACCAAAUGUGUCGAUCAAGGGCCCGACGCAACAAGGUGUCGAGAGCGUCAUGGAAGUGACACAUGCGAGCGGCGUCGUGAGUGAUGUGUCUAGCGAUCCAUCCCUCUGGCUCCUGCUCCUCCGAGAGCUCCGUGCUGUGGCUUGAACUACCACCGACAUCGUCGUCGUCUCCGUCUCUAUCAAGGUCUCCUCCAGCAGCCGGAUGCCUUGUGGUGGUGCAGGGGGCAUCUCUGGCUGAGGUGCAGGGGAAGGCUGCCACCCAGACUCCACCUCCUGCUGAGGCGAGGGGGAAGAGUCUUGCUGCUCCUGCUCCUGGCGUCGAUGAUCCUGCUGCUCAUGCAGGCGGCAAUGCAGUCUCUCCAGGUGGCUAGACUGACCUGUCACCGUGCGGCGCAGAGGGCGCUCUACCAGGCGAGAUGGAAAAAAGGUGAUCACUGACUUAUGUGCAGUGCAUCUAAUACGAGCCAUCUACAAAAGACAUUGUAAGCAUAAGAGUGAGAGUAGAACUAUAUGACCAGCAAGUAAACAGAAAGAAAAGUGAGACAAAAUUUGUUAAGAUGAGUAAUAACAUAGAAUUGGUCAAGAUGACCAAUUUUUUUGAAAUGGCACAAAAGGUCAAGGUUAGGGUAGAGGUCUAUAGUCCUUAGGGCGACCAUUCUAGUCUAGGUUUGCGGUCCUAUAGUCAGCAAGGCUUUGAUACCACUUAUGUCACACCCGGUUUUAGAAGGCAAACCGAAUGCGAACCAUGUACGUGCCAGGAUCAGAAACUCACGUACACAACGAUUACAUAAUUGGACAUCAUCACACAAUGCUCAAAGUAAAUAGAGGAAAGGUACUUUUAUUACAAUAAGAUGUCUAAGACAUGCACGAAGUCUAUUACAUAGCAUAGUCAUUAAUAUCAUCAAAGUGCGGAAAUACGAAACGUAGUAGAUAAGGCCUUCACAGACAGCUGACUGGGGGUUUGCCACUUGUCACACCUGGAUUUUGGGGCACCAAGACCCGGGCACGAACACAAUCACCAAGUGUGCUAGGACCAAGUCUUACACAUAUGAUGACUCAGUACAGAAACGAAUGUCACAUCUUUACUAUAUAAUAGGAGUUCUGUACAAAAUAAAUAAAUAAUUACAUUAUAUGAAAACAACGAUCCAGCAACCCAAAGUUGACUGGGAGACGACAGACUAGACCACUCACGAACUCAUCACAACAUCCUCCAUGCGCCUCAUCCUGCGGUACCUGUUCUUGACCUGUGGGGGGUGUGAGACUGCAAGGGUGAGCUCACAUACGUUCAUCGCUCAACAAGUUGUGGAUAAUAAUGUGCAUGAACUCGCCAAAGGUGAGAGUUCAUGUGAAGUGUAAGCCUUACCAAAGAGGAUGGUUAAAGCUGAGCAUUGCUUUUAAAGAUGGUCAAAAUUUUAUUAGCAGUUGCUAAGUGUAAGUAGAUACCAAACCAGAGUAUUAAUAGAUCAAAAUUGAUAACAGCACCCGCGAUGCAAUGCAUAUGGCAAAUUGAAUUUAAUUCCAUAAAUUAAUCAUGCGAGAGUCCUGAGCUGCUCAUGACCGCGAGCACGGCUAGUAUACCAGUUUUACACUCUGUAGAGGUUGUACCUUGUACUCACAAAUCGUGUAUCCCAUGUCGCCAGGGUUUGCAAGGCCCUUAAGGUGAAUGGCUAUGGAUCCACUACGAGGCCUUUACAAAGUUCCACUAGCUUCCGAAAACCCGCUAUAGUUUCUAGGAAGAGCAAUGUAGGAAUCCCUCGUCUGACCGCCAUCGCAGUAAAAUCAACCCGAGAACCUCCCUACACUCCUACUCCCCUACUGCCCUUGCCCCUUUCGGAUAAUGUAGUCUUCCACUAGCUUUCCUAGUUAGUCAGCCAAGGGCGUUCCAUACCACCCUUGUGGUGGCACGUGUUUCUUAAGUUAAGCUCGAUGUUCCAUUUAAUAUAAUGAUCUUGUCAUGAACAAUAAAUAAAACAACAGUAUAAUUGGAACAUAAUCAUAAUGUAAUAUUAAUCCCAAAACCAUAUAGAGCAAUAGCAAAAACUACCCAAAUAGUUUAGGGGUAAACAAGGUGAAAGGAUAACCAGACUAGGGUGACCUAUUGGGUCCCAUCAAAAUUAAGCCUAUGCAUGAUAAAAUAAUUAUAAAGAACAUUAUUGGGCAAAUAAAAGUGAUCAAGGGCACAACUUACCUGGGACUUGAGAUUCCAGGUACCAACUUGCUC
This 41241-nucleotide long non-coding RNA is filed under the name Zea mays. RNAcentral describes it as "long non-coding RNA (ZMAY_LNC004401)". The record is from RNAcentral. Lineage: Eukaryota; Viridiplantae; Streptophyta; Magnoliopsida; Poales; Poaceae.